RNAcentral lists this ribosomal RNA (428 nucleotides) under Streptomyces omiyaensis. RNAcentral describes it as "bacterial SSU rRNA". It matches the Rfam family "Bacterial small subunit ribosomal RNA", at positions 10 to 442 of the family's 1533-position model. The record is from RNAcentral. Lineage: Bacteria; Bacillati; Actinomycetota; Actinomycetes; Kitasatosporales; Streptomycetaceae.
AGUUUGANNAUGGCUCAGGACGAACGCUGGCGGCGUGCUUAACACAUGCAAGUCGAACGAUGAAGCCCUUCGGGGUGGAUUAGUGGCGAACGGGUGAGUAACACGUGGGCAAUCUGCCCUUCACUCUGGGACAAGCCCUGGAAACGGGGUCUAAUACCGGAUAACACCGGCUUCCGCAUGGGGGCUGGUUGAAAGCUCCGGCGGUGAAGGAUGAGCCCGCGGCCUAUCAGCUUGUUGGUGGGGUAAUGGCCUACCAAGGCGACGACGGGUAGCCGGCCUGAGAGGGCGACCGGCCACACUGGGACUGAGACACGGCCCAGACUCCUACGGGAGGCAGCAGUGGGGAAUAUUGCACAAUGGGCGAAAGCCUGAUGCAGCGACGCCGCGUGAGGGAUGACGGCCUUCGGGUUGUAAACCUCUUUCAGCAG